AGCUUUAGUUCUCUUUCACUUUUCCCAGCCUUUGCAGACUCUCUUUGCUGUGCGAGUGCAAUAGGCAUAUAUUGCUUGCGCCGCGAAAACGGGAUAGCCUCAGUCAGUUCGGACUGCUCGCACCUUGAAAGCUCAUCUGCCACUUGUGACGCCUAGGAUGAAACAAUGAGCCUAAAUAAAUCGAACUGUCGUGAAUUUGUCAACAUGAGGAAAACAACCGAAGCAAUUCCAACUCAAAGUAAAGGUUUUAGCGACCUCUUUUACAACGGAAAAUUUAAAUAAUUCAAAAUAAUUUAUGCAUACACACUGUUAAGUUUACAAAUUAUUUACAAGCCAGAGAAUUGGUCAUUAAAGUAACGGUUGUAUUUUACAGCCUAAACCAUAAAAAUCGAAAAAUUUAGUCAUCAAAGAGCUUGCCUUGCGGUUUAUUUCUAAGCAUCCGCUGCUCGUAGAGUAAAAAGAUUUACUAGAUUCCUUAAAAGGCUUGAGUGCCCUUUAGCCAUAGUAAGCAUCUUACUAUGUUGGCCGAAAACAGAAAGCCAAUAUUUCCGCAAAGCUCCAGCCGCAUAAUAAUGGCAACAGUUUCGCUUCUCACGCUUCGCUGAUUAACAUGUGAAUCACGUCAGGUGAGGACACUAUAAAAAAAGGUGACUGCGUAUAAGAUUUACAAACUCCAAGAAAAUAUUAAUACAUAAUAAAUGAAUUUGGUAUCAGCAUCGGUCCUCAGCGAUCCUAAUGAUUAAUAUAUGCAUUUUUUUUUUAAAUUUUUAUUCAUCUUUAUACAUUGUUCAGCAGAAAAGAUUAUAAUUCUUAUGUUGGCAAAAAGUUUAAGUUUAAGUUCGAAGUGCAUUCCCACGCAUAAAGCAACAAGAGACUGCACAGCUAAUUGAAAUUUAAUUUAAUGACCGUUCUGAGCACGUGGAAAAGCAGCGUUGCGAUGCAGCCAGGCGUUGGAAAAUUCGUGGAACUUGAUGCGCCUUCCAUCGCUAAUUAAAUUAGCAGCCGUAUGCAUGCAGGAAGCGAUUUAUGAAUUACAUUCCCGUCCAAAAAGGUGCAACACGGAAUGAGGAGAAUGGAAAACACUGCACUGACCUAACCGUAAAUGUGCCACACAAUACAAGAAUUUUCCUAAUUGAACAUGUGUCCGACAUUCAGGUGCAUACUACAUAGUUCAUUAAUAUUGCGGGCCGCAGUGGGGAAGGUUUAUUGGAAAUUAAAAGCCAACUUCAUUUGCGUUCUAGCCAGCACUUUUGUGUGCUACUCGCUCUCUGCCACGACAGUUUUCCAUUUUCCCGGUGCCAGCUAAUUUAAAUUUUUUGCUUGUUGGCUGCGGAAUUUAUGCCUGACAGCGAAUGGAGACCACACAAAUUGAGGCAUAAAUUCGGUUGCAUUUCUAUUUUUCUUUGUUAAUUUAAACAUUGCUUUGGCCACGAGUAUUAUUAUGAAAUAAAUAAUCCAGAUUACGGAUUUUUCUUCGCUGAACAAGUUUGCUAAUUUUCACAUCUACGACUGUAUCUAAUUCAAAAUCGAUUUGAAUACCAAUUUGAAUAAAAACUUUCGACAAGUCGUUGAAGCUGAAAA
Molecule: long non-coding RNA, 1581 nt
Organism: Drosophila yakuba
Lineage: Eukaryota; Metazoa; Arthropoda; Insecta; Diptera; Drosophilidae
Exons: 4
Source: RefSeq, a predicted model, not a curated record